GCCUGAUGGAUGGGGAUCACUACCGGAAACUGUUACUACUACCGUACGACCUCACAAGACCAGAGUGCGUCACCUUCUGGCCUCUCACAUUCGCAUGUGUCCGAAUAGCAUUAUCUUGUAGGUGUGGUAAUGCCUCGCCUCGAUCACUAUCUGUACCUAGUCUAAGAUGAUGACCACUGACACUGAAACUGAGACCCGAUCCCUACUCCUACCGGAGGUGGCAAUGAUUAAUAUUGGACAAUGGGCGCGAUCCUGAUGCGCCCCUGGCGCGUGUGUGGUCAUCGCCUUGUGGUUGUAUUUCACUUUCAACGAAGGGUUAGGGUUCAAUGUUAAUAGCAUUGUACAUUGACGUUACUCGCAGAACAAGCACCGGCUAAGUCCGUGCCCGCAGCCGCGGUAAUACUGAGGGUGCAAACGUUAAUCACAGUUACUGGGCGUAAAGCGCACGCAGGCGGUUUGUUAAAUCAGAUGUGAAAUCCCCGAGCUUAACUUGGGAACUGCAUUUGAAACUGGCAAGCUAUAGUCUUGUAUAGGGGGGUAUAAUUCCAAGUGUAGCGGUGAAAUGCGUAGAGAUCUGGAGGAAUACCGGUGGCGAACGCCGCCCCCUGGACAAAGACUGACGCUCAAGUGCCAAAGCGUGCGGAGCAAACAGGAUUACAUACCCUGGUAGUCCACACUGUAAACGAUGUCGACUUGGAGG
This 700-nucleotide ribosomal RNA is filed under the name Serratia proteamaculans. RNAcentral describes it as "bacterial SSU rRNA". It matches the Rfam family "Bacterial small subunit ribosomal RNA", at positions 128 to 823 of the family's 1533-position model. Lineage: Bacteria; Pseudomonadati; Pseudomonadota; Gammaproteobacteria; Enterobacterales; Yersiniaceae. The record is from RNAcentral.